RNAcentral lists this ribosomal RNA (372 nucleotides) under uncultured organism. RNAcentral's name for it is "bacterial SSU rRNA". It matches the Rfam family "Bacterial small subunit ribosomal RNA", at positions 526 to 896 of the family's 1533-position model. The record is from RNAcentral.
CGAAGGUGGCGAAUGUUGCUCGGAUUCACUGGGCGUAAAGCGUCUGUAGGUGGCUUGUUAAGUUAGAGGUGAAAGCCCCGCGCUCAACGUGGGAACUGCCUUUAAAACUGGCGAGCUUGAGAGUAUCAGAGGAAGGCGGAAUAACUGGUGUAGAGGUAAAAUUCAUAGAUAUCAGUUGGAACAUCCAUGGCGAAGGCAGCUUUCUGGGAUAUUUCUGACACUGAGAGACGACAGCGUGGGGAGCAAACAGGAUUAGAUACCCUGGUAGUCCACGCCGUAAACGAUGCAUACUCGUUGUCGGGUUCGCUACAGAACUCGGUGACUUAGCUAACGCGGUAAGUAUGCCGCCUGGGGAUUACGGCCGCAAGGUUA